Passer domesticus (house sparrow) is the source of this 415-nucleotide long non-coding RNA. RefSeq lists it as uncharacterized. The transcript has 3 exons. The record is from RefSeq and is a predicted model, not a curated record. NCBI's taxonomy places the organism in Eukaryota, Metazoa, Chordata, Aves, Passeriformes, Passeridae.
CUUUGAAUACUGUCAGGUUUCUGCUUCUGCAUUUUGUUCAGUGCUUGCAAUGGGAGAUGCAGAGAUAUCUUUGGGAGUAGAAACUGGCACCUAAGAUUUGUUCACCCUCCUGUCAUCUCCAGCUUCUCCAUGGCUGCAUAGGUGGCAGCAUUGUCAGCCUUUGUGGCGUCUCGGGACGCUUCCAAGGAUUUCGGGCUCUCUCCAGACCUCCCCCACUCACAGCGCUACGUGAUCAGGGCUGAGUUAACAUCAUUACAUACUCACGUCAGAUGGAGAUCCUGGAAAGUUUUGGCAGCUCACUACUGCUGUAACUAGGAGAUUUUUUUGGUAGAAAAAAUUCUGAAUCAAACUCUGCAAUGUCCAGGGACAGGUGAGCCACCACUGCUGCCUGAAAAGAGUUAAUGGAGAAUAAAUU